This 442-nucleotide long non-coding RNA is filed under the name Ananas comosus (pineapple). RNAcentral's name for it is "long non-coding RNA (ACOM_LNC023670)". The record is from RNAcentral. Lineage: Eukaryota; Viridiplantae; Streptophyta; Magnoliopsida; Poales; Bromeliaceae.
UAAAAAUAACAGUUAAAGUAAGGGCAUGUUUGAGCCGCCUAGAGUUUCUGCACAAGUGCAAGCAAAAUUGGUCAAAAAAGCACUAAUAAUUUUUCUGCUAGAAAUGUUCCGAAAAAUUCACUCUAAAGUUAGAAAAACGAAGUUGCGAAUUAAAGUUUUUUUCAUUUGAAAUUAAUGUGAUCAUUUCAGUGUCCUAUCGCAGUCAAAAGUUAGACAUUUCGUUUAAUAAAUAGUUCAAAUCACUUCUCGUAUUUUUAUUAUUAUUAUACAGUCGAGUACUGUGGCGACAGAUAGUGGGAUGCUGUAGUUUAUACACCUAAUAAAUUUAUUUUGCAGAAAAAUAUUAAAACAUAAUCAUAACUUUUUUUAUUUUAUCUGGUAACACAUCCAAUCACAAAUAUAUAUAUAUAUAUAUAUAUAUAUAUAUAUAUAGAAAUAUAAA